CCCUUAGAUGUUCUGGGCCGCACGCGUGCUACACUGAGUGGAUCAGCGGGUCAGGUUGCGCGAAAGCGUUUCCUAAUCUUUAAAUCCGCUCGUGAUGGGGAUUGACGGUUGCAAUUUUCUGUCAUGAACGAGGAAUACCUUGUAAGCGCGGGUCAUCAUCCCGCGCUGAAUACGUCCCUGCCCUUUGUACACACCGCCCGUCGCUCCUACCGAUUGAGUGGUCCGGUGAGGCUUUGGGAUCUUAGCGGAAAGAGCGUUUCGCUGUUUCUGCUCGGAAAACUCAGUCGAACCUUAUCAUUUAGAGGAAGGAGAAGUCGUAACA
RNAcentral lists this ribosomal RNA (322 nucleotides) under uncultured eukaryote. RNAcentral's name for it is "partial 18S ribosomal RNA". It matches the Rfam family "Eukaryotic small subunit ribosomal RNA", at positions 1470 to 1796 of the family's 1831-position model. The record is from RNAcentral.